Molecule: non-coding RNA, 125 nt
Organism: Triticum aestivum (bread wheat)
Lineage: Eukaryota; Viridiplantae; Streptophyta; Magnoliopsida; Poales; Poaceae
Source: Rfam
UUAGUAUUUCCUCUGUCCGAAAAUACUUAUCGAAAAAAUGCAUAAAAAUGGAUGUAUCUAGAACUAAAAUACGUCUAGAUACAUCCAUUCCUCCGACAAAUAUUUUCGAACGGAGGGAGUAUUUG